UGUUGGGCGAUCUGGCUGCGACAUCUGUCACCCCAUUGAUCGCCAGGGUUGAUUCGGCUGAUCUGGCUGGCUAGGCGGGCGUCCCCUUCCUCCCUCACCGCUCCAUGUGCGUCCCUCCCGAAGCUGCACGCUCGGCGGAAGAGGACGACCAUCCCAGAUAGGAGUGUACCGUUCUUCGGUCAAGGGUAUAUGAUAGCUGCGCUCCCCUGCUAGAACCUCCAAACAAGCUCGAGGUUUGUUAAUUUUCUUGUCGUUAUUUUCAGCGUGUUAUAAAAUACACCUACUCGGUGCUUUUUUUCUGG
Non-coding RNA from Podarcis lilfordi (Lilford's wall lizard), 302 nucleotides. NCBI's taxonomy places the organism in Eukaryota, Metazoa, Chordata, Lepidosauria, Squamata, Lacertidae. The record is from the annotation of a GenBank genome assembly.